ACCCGCUGAACUUAAGCAUAUCAAUAAGCGGAGGAAAAGAAACCAACAGGGAUUGCCCCAGUAACGGCGAGUGAAGCGGCAACAGCUCAAAUUUGAAAUCUGGCCCCUAGGGUCCGAGUUGUAAUUUGUAGAGGAUGCUUUUGGUGAGGUGCCGCCCGAGUUCCCUGGAACGGGACGCCGCAGAGGGUGAGAGCCCCGUCUGGCUGGCCACCGAGCCUCUGUAAAGCUCCUUCGACGAGUCGAGUAGUUUGGGAAUGCUGCUCAAAAUGGGAGGUAUAUGUCUUCUAAAGCUAAAUAUUGGCCAGAGACCGAUAGCGCACAAGUAGAGUGAUCGAAAGAUGAAAAGCACCUUGAAAAGAGGGUUAAACAGUACGUGAAAUUGUUGAAAGGGAAGCGCUUGUGACCAGACUUGGGCGCGGCGAAUCAUCCGGGGUUCCCUCCGGUGCACUUCGCCGUGUUCAGGCCAGCAUCAGUUCGGCGCGGGGGAAAAAGGCUUCGGGAACGUGGCUGCUCCGGCAGUGUUAUAGCCCGUUGCAUAAUACCCUGCGCUGGACUGAGGACCGCGCAUCUGCAAGGAUGCUGGCGUAAUGGUCACCAGCGACCCGUCUUGAAACACGGACC
This 621-nucleotide ribosomal RNA is filed under the name Trichoderma koningii. Its description in RNAcentral is "eukaryotic LSU rRNA". It matches the Rfam family "Eukaryotic large subunit ribosomal RNA", at positions 23 to 667 of the family's 3401-position model. The record is from RNAcentral. Lineage: Eukaryota; Fungi; Ascomycota; Sordariomycetes; Hypocreales; Hypocreaceae.